Dermochelys coriacea (leatherback sea turtle) is the source of this 1007-nucleotide long non-coding RNA. RefSeq lists it as uncharacterized. The record is from RefSeq and is a predicted model, not a curated record. Lineage: Eukaryota; Metazoa; Chordata; Testudines; Dermochelyidae. The transcript is spliced from 3 exons.
AUGCGCACUGGGAGCUGCUCAGCCUCGCUGAGGGAGGUGGCUCGGAACGUUUCUUCAGCGUCUUCCUGCGCGCUCCCAGCGCGUGGAAUUUUGCAACUGUUCAGAAAAUCCGAGGGUCUUUGCCCCACUACGCUUGCGCACUGCCGCGUGAAACUUUAUGUAGCUCCGGAGGGAGCCCGGCCUGUCGUGCUGCUGCUGCUGCUGCUGCUGCUGCGGGGUUUCUUCUGUCCUAGCCGCGGGCUCCCCUGACUCCUUGAGCGGCGCGCCCCUGCGUAACCAGCCCCUCCGCAGUGUUGAGCAAGGGCAGGCCUUAGCAGCAGCCUCAGCAUGGAUGGUCCGUGCGCCCUACUCACGAGAGCCUUUCUGCAGCAUCUCUAUUAAGCGCUCUGCUUAACAGCCCCAUUGUAGCCCGUGCUGCCAGGCUGGGCUGUCGGCGUUAUAUUGCACUUCCCACACGCAAGGACUUUUUCAGUCCGAUCUGUUUAGUCACCUUCUGUGAGUAAAGGAAGCUGCAGAUGGAGGACACCGGCAACGGAUGGUCCGUCUCAGGAUCUCUGGAACAUCGGAGGAUCUGGCUCUCUACUGCCAAAGCAGGAGAUCAACAGAUCUGGGCUGAUAGCAAAGUCUUCACUGCAUCCUUUGGAGUCAGGUGAUGAUCUUCCAGUCUAUGUCACCACGCAAACACAAUGGUACCGUGGCUGCCUCUAGGACGGACAGCAACUAGGCCGCGGGUGCUCAGAGUUUAUAUAGGCACAAGCACGCGAAGGUCCUGAGGUAAAACUGGCAGCUCUCCUGCUGGAACCUGUUUGAACCUGUUCUUGUGCUGACUGUUAACUGCUUUUCCUGCCAAAGUUUCAAAAGGGGGUGAAAACUUCAACAAGAAGCUAAACAAAGAUGGAGUCGAACUGUUGUUUGGCAGGCACACCAUUUUGAAUUUCAGACUCCAUAUCGAAUACAUGGUCAAACACCUUAACCAAAUGUAAAGGCAUAAAGAAUAACUUAUUUUA